GCGGGGGUAGCCAAGCCUGGUCAACGGCGCAGGAUUCAGGGUCCUGUCUCGAAGGAGUUCUUGGGUUCGAAUCCCAUCCCCCGCA
Molecule: transfer RNA, 85 nt
Filed under: Thermoplasmata archaeon
Lineage: Archaea; Methanobacteriati; Thermoplasmatota; Thermoplasmata
Description: tRNA-Leu
Rfam family: tRNA
About the family: Transfer RNA (tRNA) molecules are approximately 80 nucleotides in length. Their secondary structure includes four short double-helical elements and three loops (D, anti-codon, and T loops).
Source: RNAcentral